UGAGCACUUUGCCAGCUAUGAAUGUAUGGAUGUUGGCACAUUGAUUUCUUAGUAACCUGUACAGCUCUCUGCACUGGACUCCCCCUUUUCAGAGCAGUGAAAGCAUGCUGCACAGGAAUCACAGGUACGGCUGCUGAAUUGGGGUUCAUUGAAGCACAGCGAGCUCCACACUGACAUCAAACCUUGUGAAUCAACAGCACAGGAUCAAGAUGUUAUCAUCUUGGGAUACCAGAAUUCAGGGAAGUCUGCUCACUGUCUUUAAGCAGACUAGGAUGGUAAGCGAAGGGCACUUCUUACCAUUAUAGCAAUGCAAUUUGACUGCCUCGGUUACCUUUUCUGAUUUCUGUCAUGGAUUGCAGACUGUCAGUACUACAUUCCCAUUUCCCUUCCUGUCACUGAUGCAAGUUUUUGGGCCACUGCCUAGAAGAGAUCUCUAUAACAGAGGUCCCUUCUGUCCUUUUUUCCCCUGACAGAAUGAAUAUUCUCUAGCUCCAUACACAUCUGUUUUCAAAGGAGAAUGAAGAGUCCUUUCAUAACCUUGAACUGAGGCAUCUUCAUCUUGCGGAGAGAAUUUCCUCAAACCCUCCAUUUUUGUAUUAUUUGCAGUAGGAAUUGAUACCACACUUCUUCCUUUGGGACAAAAAGGGCAGAAGUGGGCUCCCUUCCUUAUUCAGUGCCUUCCUUAUCCUCACAGAAGGGACACAGUGCUCAGUAGUGAGGAGUAAACACAGAGUCACAGAAUGGUUGAUGUUGGAAGGAACUUCUGGAUAUCACCUAGUCCAAAUCACCUGCUCAAGCAGGGCUGCCCACAGCAAGGAUUGUGUUCAGAUUAAUACUUUCAUGGAUGGAGACUCCCCAACCUUCUGGGGCAACCUGUGAUAGGGCUUAGUCAUUCUCACACUAAAAAUUGUUUCUUGGUGUUCAAAAAAACCCCUGUCGUGUUUCAAUUUGUGCCAAAUCACCAUUGGUCUUGUUAUUGGGCCCCACCAAAAAGAGCCUGUCUAUACCCUCUUUGCAUCUUCCCUUUGACUAUUUGUACAAAUCUGUGAGAUCCCAUUGAGCCUGCUCUUCUCAAAGCUGAACAGCCCCAGCUCUCUC
Molecule: long non-coding RNA, 1098 nt
Filed under: Parus major (Great Tit)
Lineage: Eukaryota; Metazoa; Chordata; Aves; Passeriformes; Paridae
Description: lncRNA (ENSPMJG00000015732.1)
Source: RNAcentral